This 254-nucleotide ribosomal RNA is filed under the name uncultured bacterium. RNAcentral's name for it is "partial 16S ribosomal RNA". It matches the Rfam family "Bacterial small subunit ribosomal RNA", at positions 524 to 776 of the family's 1533-position model. The record is from RNAcentral.
UACGGGGGGGGGCAAGCGUUGUUCGGACUUACUGGGCGUAAAGGGCUCGUAGGUGGCCAACUAAGUCAGACGUGAAAUCCCUCGGCUUAACCGGGGAACUGCGUCUGAUACUGGAUGGCUUGAGUUUGGGAGAGGGAUGCGGAAUUCCAGGUGUAGCGGUGAAAUGCGUAGAUAUCUGGAGGAACACCGGUGGCGAAGGCGGCAUCCUGGACCAACACUGACGCUGAGGAGCGAAAGCCAGGGGAGCAAACGGG